Molecule: ribosomal RNA, 746 nt
Rfam family: Eukaryotic large subunit ribosomal RNA
GGACCGUGUACAAGUCUCCUGGGAUGGAGCAUCAUAGAGGGUGAGAAUCCCGUCUCUGAUACGGACUACCAGUGCAUUGUGGUAUGCUCUCAACGAGUCGAGUUGUUUGGGAAUGCAGCUCAAAAUGGGUGGUAAAUUCCAUCUAAAGCUAAAUAUUGGCGAGAGACCGAUAGCGAACAAGUACCGUGAGGGAAAGAUGAAAAGAACUUUGGAAAGAGAGUUAAACAGUACGUGAAAUUGCUGAAAGGGAAACGCUUGAAGUCAGUCGCGUCUACCAGGAAUCAGCCUCGCUUCUGCGUGGUGUACUUUCUGGUUGACGGGUCAGCAUCAAUUUUGACUGCUGGAAAAAGGUGUGAGGAAUGUGGCAGCUCCGGCUGUGUUAUAGCCUCAUGUCGUAUACAGCGGUUGGGAUUGAGGAACGCAGCACGCCGCAAGGCCGGGUCUUCGGACUACGUUCGUGCUUAGGAUGCUGGCAUAAUGGCUUUAAGCGACCCGUCUUGAAACACGGACCAAGGAGUGUAACAUGCCUGCGAGUGUUUGGGUGGAAAACUCGAGCGYGUAAUGAAAGUGAAAGUUGAGAUCCCUGUCGUGGGGAGCAUCGACGCCCGGACCAGAACUUUUGGGACGGAUCCGCGGUAGAGCAUGUAUGUUGGGACCCGAAAGAUGGUGAACUAUGCCUGAAUAGGGUGAAGCCAGAGGAAACUCUGGUGGAGGCUCGUAGCGGUUCUGACGUGCAAAUCGAUCGU